This 933-nucleotide small RNA is filed under the name Pan troglodytes (chimpanzee). RNAcentral describes it as "retained intron". Lineage: Eukaryota; Metazoa; Chordata; Mammalia; Primates; Hominidae. The record is from RNAcentral.
GGGAGCACAAAGAGGGGCACAGGGCCACCAAGUGGGUCUUGGAUCUGCCCUCCAGGUGUGGGCCCAUCGCUGGAUGGAUCUGUCGGAACACGGCUUUGGGCUGGCCCUGCUCAACGACUGCAAGUAUGGCGCGUCAGUGCGAGGCAGCAUCCUCAGCCUCUCGCUGUAAGUGGGGUACCCACCAGGCCUGGGAGCUGGCAUGGAGAAAUGGGUCUUCCCGACCACAACUCCAACAGCUUCAGCGUGGCCCCUACGCGCCCUCCUCACCCCAGCUUGCGGGCGCCUAAAGCCCCGGACGCUACUGCUGACACGGGGCGCCACGAGUUCACCUACGCGCUGAUGCCGCACAAGGGCUCUUUCCAGGAUGCUGGCGUUAUCCAAGCUGCCUACAGCCUAAACUUCCCCCUGCUGGCUCUGCCAGCCCCCAGCCCAGCGCCCGCCACCUCCUGGAGUGCGUUUUCCGUGUCUUCACCCGCGGUCGUAUUGGAGACCGUCAAGCAGGCAAGGGCAGCCCCCAGCGCCGCUCGCUGGUCCUGAGGCUGUAUGAGGCCCACGGCAGCCACGUGGAUUGCUGGCUGCACUUGUCGCUGCCGGUUCAGGAGGCCAUCCUGUGAGUGGCGGUGAGGGAUUGGGGCGGGGGUCGAGUCUCGCCCUCGCAGAGCCUUCAUGGCCCCUCCUGUUCUCCAGCUGCGAUCUCUUGGAGCGACCAGACCCUGCUGGCCACUUGACCCUUCGGGACAACCGCCUGAAGCUCACCUUUUCUCCCUUCCAAGUGCUGUCCCUGUUGCUCGUGCUUCAGCCUCCACCACACUGAGUCCUUGGGGCUGGGGUUUUGUUUGUUUUGUAGAAGGCUCUGGGGACUCCUAAUUUCUGCUUCCCCAGCCUAAAGCAGGGAUCAGUCUCUUCUUGUGGAAUAAAUCCUUGGAUCAGGAA